This is a non-coding RNA of Paramuricea clavata, 604 nucleotides long. The record is from the annotation of a GenBank genome assembly. NCBI's taxonomy places the organism in Eukaryota, Metazoa, Cnidaria, Anthozoa, Malacalcyonacea, Plexauridae.
CUUCAACUGCGAACGAACGAAGACCUAUAUUUUUGUGUACGUUUUUGUGUGUGUGUUUGAAAUAUUUUUAACCCGUUCUUUUGCAAUAUACACCGUGUGUGUAAAUUUUUAAUCUCAAUGCUUGGCUGUCCUACGUAUCCAACAACUUUUAUACAAGAUGCCAGAAAUUGGAUAUGCGUGUUUAAGCGAUUUGAAAAUCGGCCGCAUGUUAGGUUCCGGAGGUUUUGGCACCGUAUACGAAGCUAACUACAAAGGUGAAACUGUAGCCAUGAAACAGCUACACACAAACACCAAAAACAAGAAGGCUGCAAUGCAGAGUUUUCGCUCGGAAACUCGCCCCGAAGUGCUGAAUUUCAACCACCCAAACAUCGUACGGACUCUUGUCGUUUCGCAAGCGACGACAAUCGAAGAUUCGCCGUUUUUAAUCAUGGAGUAUAUUGAGAACAAGACUCUACAGCAUUUGUUAGACGAUCCGGAAGAGAUUAUAGACGAUGCUCGAAGGAUUCGUUUGGCCUUUGAGAUUGCGAGUGCUCUGGAAUACAUGCACGAGCAGAAUGUCGCCCACUUAGAUCUGAAACCUGUAAACGUCCUUGUUACAAAAAAG